Molecule: ribosomal RNA, 448 nt
Filed under: uncultured bacterium
Lineage: Bacteria
Description: bacterial SSU rRNA
Rfam family: Bacterial small subunit ribosomal RNA
Source: RNAcentral
UCCAGACUCCUACGGGAGGCAGCAGUGGGGGAUAUUGCACAAUGGGGGGAACCCUGAUGCAGCGACGCCGCGUGGGUGAAGGAGUAUUUCGGUAUGUAAAGCCCUAUCGGCAGGGAAGAAGCAAGACGGUACCUGACUAAGAAGCCCCGGCUAACUACGUGCCAGCAGCCGCGGUAAUACGUAGGGGGCAAGCGUUAUCCGGAUUUACUGGGUGUAAAGGGAGCGUAGACGGCGGCGCAAGCCAGAUGUGAAAGCCCGGGGCUCAACUCCGGGACUGCAUUUGGAACUGUGUGGCUGGAGUGUCGGAGAGGCAGGCGGAAUUCCUAGUGUAGCGGUGAAAUGCGUAGAUAUUAGGAGGAACACCAGUGGCGAAGGCGGCCUGCUGGACGAUGACUGACGUUGAGGCUCGAAAGCGUGGGGAGCAAACAGGAUUAGAUACCCGCGUAGA